UAGGAGAAUCGGGCUCAUUUAAUCAUGAAUCAUUUUGUCUGCAAAUAAUUUAUGAUUGUAGAGCAGACUACCGUAUAGACCAAAAUGGCAGAACAAUCGCAAACCAAUCCAAUGUCGUUGGAAUCUAUUACGCAAAGUUCGCAUAAUUUGUGCAAUUAUUGAACAAUAAUUACACAUAUUGUAGCACUAUUGCGCAAUGUUAUUACUUUAGAUGCAACUCGUUGAGGUUUCGGAGAAUAGGUAUCAUUACUCAGGUAAGUCCCUACUUACCUAAGUACCUAGGUAUGUACGAUUGGUCCUAUAUUAGUAGCACAAUGCCCGAUAUGGUUAAAACUGCUAUUGCGAUUCAAUUUUGACAUUACUAACUCAGGAGAAUCGGGCCCCAGUUGUGUUAGCACCCAUAACUUAUGGGCCAUAACACAAGUUAAUUAAUAACUUAGCAUGGAGCUAACCGACCGUGUGUGAAAAGGUGUCCCGACGUUAUUUUGUUCUGUUUUGGUGACCUUAGAAAUAUAAAAAAAGUUCUUGGCAGCGGUGGGAUUCGAACCCACGCCUCCGAAGAGACUGGUGCCUUAAACCAGCGCCUUAGACCGCUCGGCCACGCUACCAGAUAUAGAACGUGUCGAAAUAGAAAUACAGCAUGCCCAAAUUCCAUAUAUUCUCCUAUGUAAACUAAAAAUAAUUAUCAUCUUUUAGGUCCCCAAGAUACAGGCAGCGCCUAGUUUGGGGAAACAGAACCUAUGUAAAUUUCUCCCGCAGAAAAUUUACAGCGAACAUUUGUAAUCGUUUACCUUAAAAAGUGACUCAUUAAUGUAACUGGAUCAAUAAACUUUAUUAUCUCUAUCAAGAAUUUUCAUUUUAAUAGUUGCAGAGACCCACUUUUAAAAGAAUCCACACUACUCGUCGACACCUAGGCUACUUUACCCAUGUGCAGUAUUUAGUGUAAUAAUUGCCUUGGACACGGAAGAAACCGUGGACGAAAAUUGACUAACCACAUGGCAAGAGUUACAAUCGCAGGGGAAGUACUUUCACAUUAAAAUAUCUAAAGACGAAUACUUACCUAUCUUUUUAAAUAUCUAAUAAAAUAAGCGACUGUAUUGUUUUUAUGGCCUACAUACCUAGGUACUUAGGUAAGUAGGGACACCUAUUCUCCGAAACCUCAACGAGUUGCAUCUAAAGUAAUAACAUUGCGCAAUAGUGCUACAAUAUGUGUAAUUAUUGUUCAAUAAUUGCACAAAUUGUUUAAACAUUGCGUAAUAGAUAAGAGUAGCCAGCACCUAUAUAAAAACAGAUAUUGCAGAACCGUCCUCAUUCGUAGUGGAAUAGUUAGACACGAGCGCAAGUAAGAUUUGUGAUUUCAUAUAUCAAUUUCAAAAACUAAACGAACCAGUUCAGUUUUGUGUUACAGAAGCUGGAAUUGCUGAAACGCUGAAACAUGGAGGCGGCAAUCGUCGUUGAAGUGCAAUCUAGUGCUGAAGCUCAAGAAGGGAAGAUCCCGUGGCCGUUCCAGGGGAAGAUCCCGUGAUCGUUCCAGGGGAAGAUCUCGUGGCCGUUCCCGCGGAAAAUCCCGCAGUCGCUCGAGAGGUAAAUCCAACGCACAAUCGGAGGUCACUUCUAAACAAGUAAGAAGGCCCAGAGAUGAAUCAAGGAAUUGUUUGUUUAGACUGUCUGAAUAUUACUCGGAAACAAUGGAUACGCGCAGGAGCAGGGAAAGAUCUAGAAGUCCUAACAGGAAAUUGAGGUGUCAUUCCAGGGCAAGAUCCAGGAGUCAGUCUAGGGGAAGAUCCAGAGGCCAUUCUAG
This 1801-nucleotide long non-coding RNA is filed under the name Helicoverpa zea (corn earworm). RNAcentral describes it as "uncharacterized LOC124638391". The record is from RNAcentral. Lineage: Eukaryota; Metazoa; Arthropoda; Insecta; Lepidoptera; Noctuidae.